UGGGGAAUAUUGGACAAUGGACCAAGAGUCUGAUCCAGCAAUUCUGUGUGCACGAUGAAGUUUUUCGGAAUGUAAAGUGCUUUCAGUUGGGAAGAAAAAAAUGACGGUACCAACAGAAGAAGUGACGGCUAAAUACGUGCCAGCAGCCGCGGUAAUACGUAUGUCACGAGCGUUAUCCGGAUUUAUUGGGCGUAAAGCGCGUCUAGGUGGUUAUGUAAGUCUGAUGUGAAAAUGCAGGGCUCAACUCUGUAUUGCGUUGGAAACUGUGUAACUAGAGUACUGGAGAGGUAAGCGGAACUACAAGUGUAGAGGUGAAAUUCGUAGAUAUUUGUAGGAAUGCCGAUGGGGAAGCCAGCUUACUGGACAGAUACUGACGCUAAAGCGCGAAAGCGUGGGUAGCAAACAGG
This 407-nucleotide ribosomal RNA is filed under the name uncultured bacterium. RNAcentral describes it as "bacterial SSU rRNA". It matches the Rfam family "Bacterial small subunit ribosomal RNA", at positions 355 to 776 of the family's 1533-position model. The record is from RNAcentral.